ACGACAGCGGAAUGAUAGCCGGGCUGAAGACUCUGCUUGACUAGCUGAGAGGAGGUGCAUGGCCGUCGUCAGUUCGUACUGUGAAGCAUCCUGUAAGUCAGGCAACGAGCGAGACCCACGCCAACAGUUGCCAGCAUGGAUCUCCGGAUUGAUGGGGACACUGUUGGGACCGCCUCUGCUAAAGGGGAGGAAGGAAUGGGCAACGGUAGGUCCAGCAUGCCCCGAAUUAUCCGGGCUACACGCGGGCUACAAUGGAUGGGACAAUGGGUUCCGACACCGAAAGGUGAAGGUAAUCUCCUAACCCCACCCGUAGUUCGGAUUGCGGGCUGCAACUCGCCCGCAUGAAGCUGGAAUCCGUAGUAAUCGCGUCUCACGAUGGCGCGGUGAAUAUGUCCCUGCUCCUU
This 404-nucleotide ribosomal RNA is filed under the name uncultured Methanocalculus sp. Its description in RNAcentral is "bacterial SSU rRNA". It matches the Rfam family "Archaeal small subunit ribosomal RNA", at positions 936 to 1338 of the family's 1478-position model. The record is from RNAcentral. Lineage: Archaea; Methanobacteriati; Methanobacteriota; Methanomicrobia; Methanomicrobiales; Methanocalculaceae.